CGUUAUAGAAUCUUUUUUCUUACUGAGCUCAUAAAGCUCACCCUAAUUCACACCCCAUCCAGAUCAGUGGAGAUGAGAAACAAGUCCAAGAUCAAUAGAAGAUGGUGAAGAAAACCUUAUUAGUUUCUAGUUUAGAUUUAUAAAUUAAUUUAGAUGCCUCAGUUAUUUGUAAAUAAAUAAUUAUUUUAUCACUAGGGAUGUGUAUUGAAGUGUAGUUAUGUUGCAUAUUUAAU
Molecule: long non-coding RNA, 233 nt
Filed under: Carica papaya (papaya)
Lineage: Eukaryota; Viridiplantae; Streptophyta; Magnoliopsida; Brassicales; Caricaceae
Description: long non-coding RNA (CPAP_LNC004693)
Source: RNAcentral